This 212-nucleotide long non-coding RNA is filed under the name Ananas comosus (pineapple). RNAcentral's name for it is "long non-coding RNA (ACOM_LNC001517)". Lineage: Eukaryota; Viridiplantae; Streptophyta; Magnoliopsida; Poales; Bromeliaceae. The record is from RNAcentral.
GGUUGAUCGGUCCCAGUGUUAGUCAUCGGUGAUAACAUUAUUUCUGCGUCAUUCUACAUCGAUUAUAUAUAUAUAGAGAGAGAGAGCGAAAGAGGAAGGUAGCCUUUUCGCAAAUUUAUUUAUUUUUUAGGAAUGAAUGAAGCCAACUAGUUAAAGUAAUUAGAUUUUGAAUUUGAAACCUCUCGAUGAUCGAGUUCUUAGCCCGCUGCACU